This 748-nucleotide ribosomal RNA is filed under the name Escherichia coli. RNAcentral describes it as "partial 23S ribosomal RNA". It matches the Rfam family "Bacterial large subunit ribosomal RNA", at positions 2051 to 2798 of the family's 2925-position model. Lineage: Bacteria; Pseudomonadati; Pseudomonadota; Gammaproteobacteria; Enterobacterales; Enterobacteriaceae. The record is from RNAcentral.
CUGUGAAGAUGCAGUGUACCCGCGGCAAGACGGAAAGACCCCGUGAACCUUUACUAUAGCUUGACACUGAACAUUGAGCCUUGAUGUGUAGGAUAGGUGGGAGGCUUUGAAGUGUGGACGCCAGUCUGCAUGGAGCCGACCUUGAAAUACCACCCUUUAAUGUUUGAUGUUCUAACGUUGACCCGUAAUCCGGGUUGCGGACAGUGUCUGGUGGGUAGUUUGACUGGGGCGGUCUCCUCCUAAAGAGUAACGGAGGAGCACGAAGGUUGGCUAAUCCUGGUCGGACAUCAGGAGGUUAGUGCAAUGGCAUAAGCCAGCUUGACUGCGAGCGUGACGGCGCGAGCAGGUGCGAAAGCAGGUCAUAGUGAUCCGGUGGUUCUGAAUGGAAGGGCCAUCGCUCAACGGAUAAAAGGUACUCCGGGGAUAACAGGCUGAUACCGCCCAAGAGUUCAUAUCGACGGCGGUGUUUGGCACCUCGAUGUCGGCUCAUCACAUCCUGGGGCUGAAGUAGGUCCCAAGGGUAUGGCUGUUCGCCAUUUAAAGUGGUACGCGAGCUGGGUUUAGAACGUCGUGAGACAGUUCGGUCCCUAUCUGCCGUGGGCGCUGGAGAACUGAGGGGGGCUGCUCCUAGUACGAGAGGACCGGAGUGGACGCAUCACUGGUGUUCGGGUUGUCAUGCCAAUGGCACUGCCCGGUAGCUAAAUGCGGAAGAGAUAAGUGCUGAAAGCAUCUAAGCACGAAACUUGCC